UUUCGCAAUGCCCGAAAGGGUGACGAAGCGACGCCGCGUGUGGGAAGAAGGCCCUAGGGUUGUAAACCACUGUCAGGAGUUAAGAAAUAUAGAGACGUUAAUAGCGUUUCUAUUUGACGAAGGCUCCAGAGGAAGCCACGGCUAACUCUGUGCCAGCAGCCGCGGUAAUACAGAGGUGGCAAGCGUUGUUCGGAAUUAUUGGGCGUAAAGAGCACGUAGGCGGUCCUGCAAGUCUGUUGUGAAAUCCUUCCGCUUAACGGGAGAACGGCAGCUGAUACUACAGGACUAGAGUACGGGAGGGGAGAGUGGAACUUCUGGUGGAGCGGUGAAAUGCGUAGAUAUCAGAAGGAACGCCGGCGGCGAAAGCGACUCUCUGGCCCGAAACUGACGCUGAGUGUGCGAAAGCUAGGGGAGCAAACGGGAUUAGAUACCCCGGUAGUCCUAGCCGUAAACGAUGGGCACUAAGUAGAGGGGUUUUA
RNAcentral lists this ribosomal RNA (479 nucleotides) under uncultured bacterium. RNAcentral's name for it is "bacterial SSU rRNA". It matches the Rfam family "Bacterial small subunit ribosomal RNA", at positions 364 to 833 of the family's 1533-position model. The record is from RNAcentral.